CAAGCAGAAACUAGAAACUCCAGGAAUAGCAGAGGCUGGAUUCAGAAGUCAACUGCAGCUUCCCUAGCCACACGGGUAAAUCCUAAACCAUAUUAGUGCCAAUGAAACAAGCAAAUUGCAAGGGGCUGAAUUCAGUUCAAAGUCCCAAACAAAACUAAAUACAGUUUGAGAGGCUGAUAUAAACACAAUAGAACUGUUAAAGGGCCAGGAAGUGACACAUGGCAAUUUGUGACACUCGGGGUGGCUGAAGGAGGCACACCAGAAGCUUCUGCCCGUGGACAUUUAUCAAGGCACACAGGUGCCAAGCACCCUUCAUGAUGCUGGGGAGACACAGGUGUGAGCAAGACAGAGCCAGUUCUAGACCUCAGGGAGCCUGUGCACUGUCGGGGCAGGUUGGUGUUGUGUCUUUGUUUAGGUCUGUGGCAGAUGACAAGUGUCUGUUAUACUGUUAUCCAUUGUCCCCUGCAGGUGUUCUUUGGUGUCAAGCCUGCUACACUGAAACAGAAAACAAAGUAAAGACAUAGUUCAUUGACUUCCUUCACACCGGGACAAAGCCCCACACAACUGAGUUGGUUCUGAGGAUUGAGCUCAUGCAUAGCCAUCACAUUCACCAGGAGUUCCAACUCCAGACUGUAUCAGUUACUUUUCUGCUGCUCAGAGAACACAUUGUGGCCAAGACGACUUACAGAAGGAAGUGUUUAUCUGUGCCUACAGUCCCAGAGGGAGAAGUAUCUUUCAGGGUGGUGAGGCAUGGCAGCAAGUUGUAGGUAUGGUAGAAGGAGCAGCAACCUGAGCUGUCACAUCUUCAGCCACAAGCUUAAAGCAGAGACAAUGAACAGGACGAGGGGUCAGGCUGUGAACUUGCCAAGCCUCCUUGAAGGCUUCACCAACUGGGAACCAAGUGCUCAAGCAUCUGAGCCAUGGGGAGCACUUCUCAUUUAAACCUCCACACUCCCCAUUACCCUGCCCUAGCUGAGUGUCCCAUGAAGUCAUUCUCUCUCUCACGAUGAGUGGGUCCAGAUACAGUUUUGAAUGCCAGACUGGUAAGUGGACCAGAGUUCUCUACGCCUGAGGGUGCCAGGGACAGAAGGGGAGAUAAAUGGAAUGGAAGACCAGGGCCUGGCCAAAUUCAGCUGCCUAGGGCUCUUUAACUGCUUGAACAGAAAACAGAAGAUGGGAGUCUGUCUCAAAGGGCUCACCCUCACUGCAGGCAGGCAGUCUGACAACCACCCAUCAUUCCAUCCAUCCCUCAACCCACCAUGCACACAUCCAUGCAGCCAACAUGUGUAAGUGGCAGAAUAAUGGCUCCCCAAAGAUGUUCUAAUCCCCAGAACCCAGAUUGUUACUUAACAAUGGCAAAGGGGGAUUAAGGUUGCAGAUGGAAUGUGGGCUGCUAAUUAUCUGGAGUCAGAAUAGGGAGAUUACCUUGGAUUUUCCGAGUGGGCCUAAUGUAAUCACAAGGGUCUUGGAGAGGAGAACAGGGCCUCAAAAGAGAGGUCCAGAGAGAUGACAGUGUGAGAAGGACUUGGCCAGUAUGUCUGAGUCUAAAGAUGAAGAAAUAGGACCUGAAGACAAGGAAAAUGGGAAGCUUGGAAAGGCAAGGGAGUGGAUACUCCCUGAGGGUGUCUAGAUGGCAGCCCUGGGAGAGUUCAGCCCAUGGGGAUAGAUACCCUUUUCUGAAUACAUUUGCAUCGUUUCAAGCCACUAAAUCUGUGGUACUCUUUUACAGCAGCUGUAGGAACUGCACACACCAUCGAUUUAUCCAGCCCAUGGCAUAGCCAUCCGGUCAGCCACCCAUGCACUUAGCACACAUACGUUGAGUGUGUCUGUGUUAGCUGCCAGACUGUGAGAGUGAACAGGUCACAACCCAGGAAGAGAGAAACCAUUACUGAAGCCCAUACUGCUCAGACCCUGGUACAUACAACUCCUCCCUUGAGGAAGGUGAUACUGAAAACUGUAAGUGAUGUACACAUAGUUGUCAUGCUCCAUGCAGCUGAGGGGUAGGGGUAAUGGCAUUUAGCCCCCUUUGUGAGGAAAGAAUAAGGUUCUAAUGCCACCCUGAGGCCCAGGCCUUAGCUUGCCAGGGUACAAUUCUGCAGAGCCUAAUUACAGCACAGCCUGCAGUCCCUGGCCUGAGAGCUGCCAUGGGUACAGUCCCCACCAGGCCCAGCUCAUGUUACAGUCUUCCAGGAACAGCCUGUACCUUGGUGCAACUCUGAGAAUGAGCCAAGAAGGUGUUGGCCAUCCUGAUCCAAUGUCCUCAAAGGCAAGACGUGUGUGUAGCCACAUCCAGAGAUGCUUCAGGCCAAGAGUGUGGCCAAAGAUAGCUUCUGGGAAGCUGAUCCGGAAGGCUUGGAGUGGGGAGGUGGGGGCAGGUGGGGCUCAGCAUCAAGAAGGAACAGCUCUGGGUAGCACUGUAGACAAAGUGUGUGGGCAGAGUCUCCUUUCUGGGCAGUCCUCAUGAGGGG
This 2468-nucleotide long non-coding RNA is filed under the name Cricetulus griseus (Chinese hamster). RNAcentral describes it as "lncRNA (ENSCGRG00015034482.1)". Lineage: Eukaryota; Metazoa; Chordata; Mammalia; Rodentia; Cricetidae. The record is from RNAcentral.